UGGGAUAUGGCUUGGUGGCACAGUGUCUGCCUGGUAAGCACAAGGUUCUGGGUUCAAUUUCCAGUAUUAAAA
Molecule: transfer RNA, 72 nt
Filed under: Cavia porcellus (domestic guinea pig)
Lineage: Eukaryota; Metazoa; Chordata; Mammalia; Rodentia; Caviidae
Rfam family: tRNA
About the family: Transfer RNA (tRNA) molecules are approximately 80 nucleotides in length. Their secondary structure includes four short double-helical elements and three loops (D, anti-codon, and T loops).
Source: Rfam by way of RNAcentral